CUAGUAAUGGCAGGUCAGCAUACUGCCGUGAAUACGUUCCCGGGCCCUUGUACACACCGCCCGUCACACCAUGAGAGUUGGGAAUACCCGAAGCCUGUGAGCUAACUUUUAGAGGCAGCAGUCGAAGGUAGAAUCAAUGAUUGGGGUGAAGUCGUAACAAGGUAGC
RNAcentral lists this ribosomal RNA (166 nucleotides) under uncultured bacterium. RNAcentral describes it as "partial 16S ribosomal RNA". It matches the Rfam family "Bacterial small subunit ribosomal RNA", at positions 1335 to 1500 of the family's 1533-position model. The record is from RNAcentral.